CAAUAGCGUAUAUUUAAGUUGCUGCAGUUAAAAAGCUCGUAGUUGGAUUUCGGGUGGGAAUGGCCGGUCCGCCGUUUCGGUGUGCACUUGCUACGCCCACCUUGCUGCCGGGGACGUGCUCUUGAGUUCACGCUCGGGACACGGAGUCGGCGAGGUUACUUUGAGUAAAUUAGAGUGUUCAAAGCAGGCCUACGCUCUGAAUACAUUAGCAUGGAAUAACACGAUAGGACUCUGGCCUAUCUUGCUGGUCUGUAGGACCGGAGUAAUGAUUAAGAGGGACAGUCGGGGGCAUUCGUAUUUCAUUGUCAGAGGUGAAAUUCUUGGAUUUAUGAAAGACGAACUACUGCGAAAGCAUUUGCCAAGGAUGUUUUCAUUAA
This 377-nucleotide ribosomal RNA is filed under the name uncultured eukaryote. Its description in RNAcentral is "partial 18S ribosomal RNA". It matches the Rfam family "Eukaryotic small subunit ribosomal RNA", at positions 592 to 976 of the family's 1831-position model. The record is from RNAcentral.